AUUGAACGCUGGCGGCAGGCCUAACACAUGCAAGUCGAGCGGAUGAGGGUAGCUUGCUACCUGGUUCAGCGGCGGACGGGUGAGUAAUGCCUAGGAAUCUGCCUGGUAGUGGGGGACAACGUUUCGAAAGGAACGCUAAUACCGCAUACGUCCUACGGGAGAAAGUGGGGGAUCUUCGGACCUCACGCUAUCAGAUGAGCCUAGGUCGGAUUAGCUAGUUGGUGGGGUAAAGGCUCACCAAGGCGACGAUCCGUAACUGGUCUGAGAGGAUGAUCAGUCACACUGGAACUGAGACACGGUCCAGACUCCUACGGGAGGCAGCAGUGGGGAAUAUUGGACAAUGGGCGUAAGCCUGAUCCAGCCAUGCCGCGUGUGUGAAGAAGGUCUUCGGAUUGUAAAGCACUUUAAGUUGGGAGGAAGGGCAGUAAGUUAAUACCUUGCUGUUUUUGACGUUACCGACAGAAUAAGCACCGGCUAACUCUGUGCCAGCAGCCGAC
This 497-nucleotide ribosomal RNA is filed under the name uncultured bacterium. RNAcentral describes it as "bacterial SSU rRNA". It matches the Rfam family "Bacterial small subunit ribosomal RNA", at positions 30 to 518 of the family's 1533-position model. The record is from RNAcentral.